UGCCAGCCGCCGCGGUAAUACGGAGGGUGCAAGCGUUAUCCGGAUUUAUUGGGUUUAAAGGGCGCGUAGGCGGACUUUCAAGUCGGAUGUGAAAUCCACAGGCUUAACUUGUGGCUUGCAUUCGAUACUGUUGGUCUUGAGUAUAUCAGAGGAAAGCGGAAUUCCAGGUGUAGCGGUGAAAUGCGUAGAUAUCUGGAAGAACACCAGUAGCGAAGGCGGCUUUCUGGGGUAAUACUGACGCUGAAGCGCGAAGGCUAGGGGAGCAAACAGGAUUAGAUA
Molecule: ribosomal RNA, 279 nt
Filed under: uncultured bacterium
Lineage: Bacteria
Description: partial 16S ribosomal RNA
Rfam family: Bacterial small subunit ribosomal RNA
Source: RNAcentral